This is a long non-coding RNA of Gymnogyps californianus (California condor), 586 nucleotides long. RefSeq lists it as uncharacterized. NCBI's taxonomy places the organism in Eukaryota, Metazoa, Chordata, Aves, Accipitriformes, Cathartidae. The transcript has 4 exons. The record is from RefSeq and is a predicted model, not a curated record.
GUGUGACGUUCCAUGCUAUGGAACACCCCUUUGGCUAGUUCAGGUCAGCUGCCCCAGCUGUGCUCCCUCCCAGCUUCUUGCACACCUGCUUGCUGGCAGAGCAUGGGAAACUGAAAAGUCCUUGGCUUAAGAUAAGUGCUACUUAGCAACAACUAAAACAUCAGGGUGUUAUCAACAGUAUUGUCACACUAAAUCCAAAACACACACUGUACCAGCUAUUAAGAGAGUUAACUCUGUCCCAGCCGAAACCAGGAUACUCAGCAUGUAUCUUUUGCUUUGGUUUUUUUCAGAUGCUGCAAGAGGCUCAGAGGGGCGAAGCUGCGUGCUGAGGAGCGGUCCGAGAAGGCGCCAUACAGGCAGCCUUUGGAACUGGAUGAGCCUUUGAGGUGCCACGAGCGAUGACGGCCGCAGCGUCCGACGCUGGAAUUCCUGCAGAGCAGAUGAUGAAGAGGAACCUGGCAACUGCAGGAAUAUCCUGGUUCACUGAUGUGUUUUUUGCUGAGGAUGGAUUCAGACCCCUGCCGUCUGACAGCUAAGUUGAGGGACUGGAGACCACUGCCCUACAGUGUGUAAUUUUGACUUCAGU